Molecule: ribosomal RNA, 778 nt
Filed under: uncultured Neocallimastigales
Lineage: Eukaryota; Fungi; Neocallimastigomycota; Neocallimastigomycetes; Neocallimastigales
Description: partial large subunit ribosomal RNA
Rfam family: Eukaryotic large subunit ribosomal RNA
Source: RNAcentral
AGAGAGAGACAUGCGCGCAUAUCAAUAAGCGGAGGAAAAGAAACUAACAAGGAUUCCCUUAGUAACGGCGAGUGAAGCGGGAAGAGCUCAAAUUUGAAAUCUUCAAGGUUCUACCUUGACGAAUUGUAGUUUAAAGAAGUGUUUUCUGUUAGUGGAGUGGCAAAAGUUCUCUGGAAUAGGACAUCAUAGAGGGUGAGAAUCCCGUAUUUGGUCAUUCCUUCUAGCUUUGUGAUACACUUUCAAAGAGUCGGAUUGUUUGGGAAUGCAGUCCAAAAUGGGUGGUAAAUUUCAUCUAAAGCUAAAUAUUGGCGAGAGACCGAUAGCGAACAAGUACCGUGAGGGAAAGAUGAAAAGAACUUUGAAAAGAGAGUUAAACAGUACGUGAAAUUGUCAAAAGGGAAGCGUUUGACACCAGUGUUGUUUUUCCGAAAAUCAAUUACGAAUGUUUUAUUUUUGAGGAGUUAUGACUUCAUCGGCUUGCUCCUUUCUUUACUGGAAACUUUCUUAAUGCACUUUUCGGUUAACAAGUCAACAUCAAUUUCUUUUGUUGUAAAAGAGUCAUUGAGGAAGGUGGCUUUCUCUUCGGAGAAAGUGUUUAUAGCCUUUGUCCUCUGCAAUCGGAGAGAUUGAGGUCUGCAGCGUAGAUCCUUCGGGGUUAGAUACAUUUGUGCUAAGUUAUAGCCUUUCAUAGACAACUUGUUGACUAUGAUCAGUCAUGUAGCUUACUCGCUUAUGCUAUUUUACCUACGCUUAGGAUGUUGACAGCAGUAUAGACUGU